UACGAAGGGUGCAAACGUUGCUCGGAAUUAUUGGGCGUAAAGCGCGCGUAGGCGGCUUGGCAAGUCGGAUGUGAAAUCCCUCGGCUCAACCAAGGAAGUGCAUCCGAAACUGAGCAGCUAGAGUACGAAAGAGGGUCGCGGAAUUCCCGGUGUAGAGGUGAAAUUCGUAGAUAUCGUAAGGAAGACCAGUGGCGAAGGCGGGUCUCUGGACAGUUCCUGACGCUGAGGCACGAAGGUCAGGGGAGCAAACGGG
This 253-nucleotide ribosomal RNA is filed under the name uncultured bacterium. RNAcentral describes it as "partial 16S ribosomal RNA". It matches the Rfam family "Bacterial small subunit ribosomal RNA", at positions 524 to 776 of the family's 1533-position model. The record is from RNAcentral.